RNAcentral lists this ribosomal RNA (465 nucleotides) under uncultured bacterium. RNAcentral's name for it is "partial 16S ribosomal RNA". It matches the Rfam family "Bacterial small subunit ribosomal RNA", at positions 32 to 507 of the family's 1533-position model. The record is from RNAcentral.
AAUCAACGCUGGCGGCGUGCCUCAGACAUGCAAGUCGAACGAUUAAACUUCCCUUCGGGGAAGAUAUAAAGUGGCGCACGGGUGAGUAACACGUAGGUAAUGUACCUUUGGGUGGGGAAUAACUUAGGGAAACUUAAGCUAAUACCGCAUAAUGCAGCGGCUCCUUCGGGAGACAGUUGUUAAAGAUUUAUCGCCUAAAGAGCAGCCUGCGGCAGAUUAGCUAGUUGGUAAGGUAACGGCUUACCAAGGCUACGAUCUGUAUCCGACCUGAGAGGGUGGUCGGACACACUGACACUGAAUAACGGGUCAGACUCCUACGGGAGGCAGCAGUCGGGAAUUUUGGGCAAUCGGCGAAAGCCUGACCCAGCAACGCCGCGUGAAGGAUGAAGUCUUUCGGGAUGUAAACUUCGUAAGAAUAGGAAGAAUAAAUGACGGUACUAUUUGUAAGGUCCGGCUAACUACGUG